CCUACGGGAGGCAGCAGUGGGGAAUAUUGCACAAUGGGGGAAACCCUGAUGCAGCGACGCCGCGUGAGUGAAGAAGUAUCUCGGUAUGUAAAGCUCUAUCAGCAGGGAAGAAAAUGACGGUACCUGACUAAGAAGCCCCGGCUAACUACGUGCCAGCAGCCGCGGUAAUACGUAGGGGGCAAGCGGUAUCCGGAUUUACUGGGUGUAAAGGGAGCGUAGACGGCGCUGCAAGUCCGGAGUGAAAGCCCAUGGCUUAACCAUGGUACAGCUUUGGAACCUGUGCAGCUAGAGUGCAGGAGAGGUAAGCGGAAUUCCUAGUGUAGCGGUGAAAUGCGUAGAUAUUAGGAGGAACACCAGUGGCGAAGGCGGCUUACUGGACUGUAACUGACGUUGAGGCUCGAAAGCGUGGGGAGCAAACAGGAUUAGAUACCCCUGUAGUC
RNAcentral lists this ribosomal RNA (440 nucleotides) under uncultured bacterium. Its description in RNAcentral is "partial 16S ribosomal RNA". It matches the Rfam family "Bacterial small subunit ribosomal RNA", at positions 338 to 795 of the family's 1533-position model. The record is from RNAcentral.